Molecule: ribosomal RNA, 253 nt
Filed under: uncultured bacterium
Lineage: Bacteria
Description: partial 16S ribosomal RNA
Rfam family: Bacterial small subunit ribosomal RNA
Source: RNAcentral
CACGUAGGCACCAAGCGUUGUCCGGAUUUAUUGGGCGUAAAGCGCGCGUAGGCGGCCCUGUAAGUCCGUUGUGAAAGUCAAAGGCUCAACCUUUGAAAGCCGAUGGAUACUGCAGGGCUAGAGUCCGGAAGAGGCGAGUGGAAUUCCUGGUGUAGCGGUGGAAUGCGCAGAUAUCAGGAGGAACACCAAUAGCGAAGGCAGCUCGCUGGGACGGUACUGACGCUAAGGCGCGAAAGCGUGGGGAGCGAACAGG